Prosopis cineraria is the source of this 609-nucleotide long non-coding RNA. RefSeq lists it as uncharacterized. The transcript has 3 exons. The record is from RefSeq and is a predicted model, not a curated record. Lineage: Eukaryota; Viridiplantae; Streptophyta; Magnoliopsida; Fabales; Fabaceae.
UCUAUUCGUACCUCAAAUUGAAUCUUUCUUCUUCUUCUUCUUCUCUUUCUGAUCUUCUUGUUCGUUUAUUUUCUUUGUAAGCAUCGACGUUUCGUUGAUCUUUAUAUAUAUUUCUGGGUUCUCGUCUGGUUCAGCUCAGUUCUUAAUUAAUUGAUUGCGGAAGAUACAAGCUUGAUUUAAUUAUAUUUCAACCAUGAGUUCUGGUAUUCCAACAGCAUAUCCCAAAGCAACAUCAACAAAUGCACCAAUAAUGACUCCUCCACCAGUUGGUUAUCCCACCAUUAAUGGCACUUCACCAAACCCUCAGGCAGCUUCUUUCCAGACCAAGUCUAGGGGUGAUGGCUUUUGGAAAGGAUGUUGUGCGGCAUUGUGUUGCUGUUGUGUUUUGGACGCUUGCUUCUGAGGAGCCAUAUUAUUUACGAGAGACAUAUAUAUAUCAUCUUUAUUUGGUCAUGUUUGGUUUCUUUCUUGAAUAAAUAAAGGAUGAUUGUAAUGUAAACUAGAUUGUUUUAGUUUCUAGUUUUUAAUUUUUCAUAGAUUCAUUGUUGUUGACUUGUACGUUGUUAGUGUUGUAUAAUAACCUAUAAUAUACAAUUCUUUUUAUGCAAA